UACGUAGGGUGCAAGCGUUAAUCGGAAUUACUGGGCGUAAAGCGUGCGCAGGCGGUUUUGUAAGUCUGUCGUGAAAUCCCCGGGCUCAACCUGGGAAUGGCGAUGAAGACUGCAAGGCUAGAAUCUGGCAGAGGGGGGUAGAAUUCCACGUGUAGCAGUGAAAUGCGUAGAGAUGUGGAGGAACACCGAUGGCGAAGGCAGCCCCCUGGGUCAAGAUUGACGCUCAUGCACGAAAGCGUGGGGAGCAAACAGG
This 253-nucleotide ribosomal RNA is filed under the name uncultured bacterium. RNAcentral describes it as "partial 16S ribosomal RNA". It matches the Rfam family "Bacterial small subunit ribosomal RNA", at positions 524 to 776 of the family's 1533-position model. The record is from RNAcentral.